AUUUUAUUUAUUUAUUUAUUUUUUUUUGGCAUAUUCUUAUUCAACUUCCUGUGUUUACCUUAUUCCCGCAUCAAGCAUAUCUAUUACAAGUAUAGCGCUUCUAAAAUCACCAGAUAUUUCACUUCCCAAGUUCAUUUUCAUACUAUAUAUAUAUGUUAAAAGCUUGCAAAUACUUGAGUUAAUUAACCUUUGAACUUGUCCAAGAUGGAUGGAAAAGUUUUAUUAUAGAAAUUCACCCUCAUCAGAGAUCUCUCAAAUGCCACUAGGGGGAGGAGAUCCCUCUCCAAAACUCUGCCACUAGGGGGAGGAGAUCCCUCUCCAAAACUCAAGAAUAUAGCUGUUCUUUCUUGUGAUUGACAAAUGCAUGCAAGAAUACAUAUAUAAAUACAUAUUGCAAUACAAUUGAGAGAGAGAG
RNAcentral lists this long non-coding RNA (415 nucleotides) under Olea europaea subsp. europaea. Lineage: Eukaryota; Viridiplantae; Streptophyta; Magnoliopsida; Lamiales; Oleaceae. The record is from RNAcentral.